ACUCUCGAUCCCACUGGUGGUUCGCUCCGGGCGAUGGUCGGCCGGAGCGAGGCAAGAGGGAACCCGGUGUGAGUCCGGGACUGCCCCGCAGCGGUGAACGGGAACGAAAGCCGUCAAUGAAGCACUGCGCGUGAGCGUGGGAAGCGACGGCCGGUAGGAGCGUGCUGUGCGCCCGUGAGUCCGAAGACCUGCCACCGGUCCGCGCGCCCA
This 210-nucleotide non-coding RNA is filed under the name Saccharothrix espanaensis. RNAcentral also lists the same sequence under 1 other name. The record is from RNAcentral. Lineage: Bacteria; Bacillati; Actinomycetota; Actinomycetes; Pseudonocardiales; Pseudonocardiaceae.